GGAAGUAAAAGUCGUAACAAGGUCUCCGUUGGUGAACCAGCGGAGGGAUCAUUACCGAGUUUACAACUCCCAAACCCCUGUGAACAUACCUUAAUGUUGCCUCGGCGGAUCAGCCCGCGCCCCGUAAAACGGGACGGCCCGCCAGAGGACCCAAACUCUAAUGUUUCUUAUUGUAACUUCUGAGUAAAACAAACAAAUAAAUCAAAACUUUCAACAACGGGUCUCUUGGUUCUGGCAUCGAUGAAGAACGCAGCAAAAUGCGAUAAGUAAUGUGAAUUGCAGAAUUCAGUGAAUCAUCGAAUCUUUGAACGCACAUUGCGCCCGCUGGUAUUCCGGCGGGCAUGCCUGUUCGAGCGUCAUUUCAACCCUCAAGCCCCCGGGUUUGGUGUUGGGGAUCGGCUCUGCCCUUCUGGGCGGUGCCGCCCCCGAAAUACAUUGGCGGUCUCGCUGCAGCCUCCAUUGCGUAGUAGCUAACACCUCGCGACUGGAACGCGGCGCGGCCAUGCCGUAAAACCCCAACUUCUGAAUGUUGACCUCGGAUCAGGUAGGAAUACCCGCUGAACUUAAGCAUAUCAAUAAGCGGAGGA
This 587-nucleotide ribosomal RNA is filed under the name Ophiocordyceps sinensis. Its description in RNAcentral is "eukaryotic LSU rRNA". The stretch from base 206 to 359 matches the Rfam family "5.8S ribosomal RNA". The record is from RNAcentral. Lineage: Eukaryota; Fungi; Ascomycota; Sordariomycetes; Hypocreales; Ophiocordycipitaceae.